Molecule: long non-coding RNA, 2783 nt
Organism: Papaver somniferum (opium poppy)
Lineage: Eukaryota; Viridiplantae; Streptophyta; Magnoliopsida; Ranunculales; Papaveraceae
Exons: 4
Source: RefSeq, a predicted model, not a curated record
CUUCCGUCUCCUUCUCCCCACCACAAUCACCACCAGCAGCAACAAUAGAUCUCCACGAACACCAGCAGCAACUUUAUUCUCCUCCGACCACACUACUGCACCUUCGUAUCUCACUACUACCACAACCCUCCUCCGCCUCCUUCAAUUUCUUCACCACCAAGCACCAUUACCACCACCGUAAACAUCACCACCCCAAACUCCUCUCAACGUCACAACAACCAUAAUAAAAACCUUAACCAUAGUUUCAUCUUCAAAUUCAAAAGGAAAUAUAGGUGGAUCUGGUGAUGUUGUGAUGUUUUUGUAAGAUUAGAUGAAGAAAUUGUUGAAAUUAGGGUUGCGAAUGUAACUGUAGUUGAAGAACAAGAAGAAAAGAGAUGGGUUGGUGACGAACUGAUGAUUGAGAUCGAUUUUCAAGGAAGGGAUGAUGAAGUGGUGAUGUUCCUAACAAGGGUCUGAGGAAUUGGAUCCAACAAUUUUUUUCAAUUUCAUGCCCUAAAUUUACUUUAAUCUUGCCUCCUGUCAUUGUCACCACCACCCUCCUUCUUCACCACCACUAAUAACAAGCAACACCGUUACAGACAACUGAAAAUGAAACAGAAAAUUGGUAUGAACUGAAACUGGAUUUGUCAAAAUGGUCUUCACACCAACUUUGGUUUGAUUUCAAUUAAUACUAAUUUCGUUUUCAUAUAGCAUAUGUGUACCUUCAGAUUUUUAAGGAACUGGAUGAAUCUUUAAAGACAUUGGUUAGAACUACUUCACAAUGGGUCAAUUCCAAGCCCUAAUUGAAAAAAUUUCUCAAUUUUUUCUUGCUUUCUAAAUUCUUAUUGUGUAUGUUUUCCUUUGCUAUACUCCAUUUUAGAUGUAGUAGUAUUGGAGAUUUAGUCAAGUUUAAGGUUACAGCAAAAAAAUGAUUCAUUUUUCUGUCUGACAACUGCACCAGCACCUUUGCAACCUGGAUUAACAUUGUGCUUUCCACAAGGAUUUUAAAUUUUGUGGUCAUCAUCCAGAUGAAUAUUUCACUUACAUUGCUACUUCUAUAGCAGUUCUGUUUUAAUUGCAAGUGGAGAUCAUUCUUUUGAUAUCAUCAGCUUGAUCCUGUACGGCAACAUUUCAUGGUCCAUCUUGUUUUUGUUUUCCCAUAGGUUGUUGAGAUUGUGACAUUUUAUCCUCCGAUUGACUACCAUUUAUUUGUAGUGCAGUGGAGACAUUACAAUGUGCACUUUCAUGAAAAAACUAAAAAAGUACAUCCCUUAGGCAUGGAUCUGACUAGCGUCAGGUCGCACAAAGUGGGAUUCUAAUUUAUGAUGUUUGCAUUUGAUAUUUCUAAUCAAGUUGCAUUUUCUCUAGCUCACACACACAAACUCUCCUUAACUUGAACAUGAAUGUCUUCAUGUGAUGUAGAAGGCUUAUUUUUCUUUUUUAGUUCUUAAAUUAUGUGCUUUGUUGUUGUUUCAUGAUAGAGUGAGGACGUUGAGUUGAUAUAGAUAUCAUGGUUAUCACUACUACCUUCAUGUGUGUUCUGUACAGGUGGCAGGCCAAUGAAAAUGGUGUUAUGCUAGAAUCUCUUGGAUAUAAAAAAGGAUUCAGAGUCGAUGUUCCAGAUGCCGCAUGGGUAGAGGCUCCAAGAUUCCAUGAUAUUCUUAUCUUAAAUACCGGCCACUGGCACAACAUGGUUGCUCAAGGUCUAGUACGUGAAGAUAUUUUAGUUAAAUCGAUAUGCCAAGGACGAGGAUAAAGGCAAUAUAGUCUUUUGGAGGUGUAGACCCAAAGCACUAUAAUUAGUGAAAAGGGAUACUGGCAGCUACAUACUUUUGAUAUCAAGAUAACAACAAAAAAGGUAAUAAAUUCUUACACAUUAACCAUUUUCGAUUUAUAUAGGUUGUCGUUUUGUUUAAUAAGUAACUUUUGUAAUUUUUCUUGUAGUUGAAUCGACAUUUUGCACGAAUCCAAUUAUGGUUUCAUAUUAUACGAUGAAACCAAAAUUGGUUUCAUCUAAUUUUUGCUAAUUUUUAUCGACGAACUGUUAUGUUUAUAUUAUGCAGAAGUAUGUUUAUGUUGUGCAGAAGAACCAGGAACAAAAGUGUAAGAACUAAUGGAUUCAACUUGUUAUAAUUUAGCAUACAUCAAAUAUAGUGAUGGGGUACUUAAUAAUACAUAUGUUUCAUUGUUCUAGUUUUUAAUACAAUUACCGUUAUAUUCGCUUAAAUAUCCAUGUUGAUAAUUUGCAGAUUACAUUAUUACAGUGUGAAGUCAUACAACAAGAGCUGAUAUAAUGAGUGGAUAAAUUAGAUUUGAUAAUUGGAAACAGAUUAGGAUUUACAACGCUAGCUGUGAUGGAGAUUAUGUGCUUUGAAUCAAAGAAAUGGUGUUUGUGUUUAGGUUAAGUCUGAAACAAAAAAAUUGAGUUACAAAAUGUUGUUGGUGGGUGCUUUACAAAAUGUUAUGAAACUGAAUUACCUGUGAUAAUGUUUAGGCAGUUGUGUGGUUUGAAUUCUAGCUGUAACUAAUGAUGUUGCUGAGGUUUGAAUGAAGUUUUUAUUUCAUCUAAUAUGUGAUUUUUUUUCUAUAUUUUAUGUCGACGAAACCAAUCUUGUUGGUGCUUCAGAUAAUGGGUCGUGGAGUCAGUUAUGGAGGAGGUCGGCGUUCUUUAGGAUAUCUCUUUGUUGGUCCUGAGGAUUCAAAACCAUGUCAAUAUUGACAUUUCAGCGAUGUCUUUCUAUUAAUGAACAUGUAUAAUACCUCUUAUAAUUUUUCUUGCAGUUGAAUUCUCACGAAACCAAUUA